CCUACGGGUGGCAGCAGUGAGGAAUAUUGGUCAAUGGACGAGAGUCUGAACCAGCCAAGUAGCGUGAAGGAUGACUGCCCUAUGGGCGGUAAACUUCUUUUAUAAAGGAAUAAAACGAGGCACGUGUGCCUUUUUGCAUGUACUUUAUGAAUAAGGCUCGGCUAACUCCGUGCCAGCAGCCGCGGUAAUACGGAGGAUCCGAGCGUUAUCCGGAUUUAGUGGGUGUAAAGGGAGCGUAGAUGGGUUGGUAAGUCAGUUGUGAAAGUUUGCGGCUCAACCGUAAAAUUGCAAUUGAUACUGGCAGUCUUGAGUGCAGUUGGGGUAGGCGGAAUUCGUGGUGUAGCGGUGAAAUGCUUAGAUAUCACGAGGAACCCCGAUUGCGAAGGCAGCUUACUAAACUGUAACUGACAUUGAUGCUCGAAAGUGUGGGGAGCAAACAGGAUUAGAUACCCGGGUAGUC
This 460-nucleotide ribosomal RNA is filed under the name uncultured bacterium. Its description in RNAcentral is "partial 16S ribosomal RNA". It matches the Rfam family "Bacterial small subunit ribosomal RNA", at positions 338 to 795 of the family's 1533-position model. The record is from RNAcentral.